GGGGAGGAGAGGGAGCAGGGGGUGAAGGUAGGGAGGGAGUGUGGUGCACUGAACUCAGCUCUUUGGGAAACUGUUUUUGCAGACAAGCCAUGGUUAGAGGAAUCCAGUUGCUCUGCCAAACAGACCUGGCUGGAAGGGAUGGAACACACGCUCGCCUGCGUCCCAAAGGGAAACCCAGCUCCAGCCUUGGUGUGUACCUGGAAUGGGGUGGUCUUUGACCUUGAAGUGCCACAGAAGGCAACCUAGAACCACACUGGAACCUACUGCUGCACAGCCACUAACCAGCUGGGCUCUGUCAGCAAAGACAUUGCUGUCAUUGUUCAAGGACUGGAUGAAGGAAUCAGCUCUACCCUCUUUGUCAUUAUUACCGUUGCCCUUGGAGUGGGUGUCAUCACCAUAGCACUGUAUUUGAGCUAUCGGCCCUGCAAAGUAGACAGGAAGAAAUUGCUCUACAGGCAGAAAGAGGAGGACAAAGAGGAGGAAAGCCAGUUUGCUGUUCAGGAAGAGAAAAGUGCAACUCAUAUAAUUGACAGCUAUUUGAUUGAAUGAGAGUUCUGCUACUGUGGUUUCCCAGGGAUGGGAGAAGGGAUAGAGGAGAAAGGAAGAAACACAAUGGCAGGCUGCAUUCCUAUUUGUGUACAUCUGUCCUGUAAAACGGUGUUUCAGGCCCCCAUGCCCCAUGUCCUGUGUGUCCAAUAUGUCCACAAUCUCACCAUUCUCUCUCUCUCUCUUUUUUUUUUUGAGAUGGAGUCUCACUGUUGUCGCCUAGGCUGGAGUGCAAUGAUGCGAUCUCGGCUCACUGCAACUUCAGCCUCCUGGGUUCAGGUGAUUCUCCUGCCUCAGCCUCCCCAGUAGCUGAGAUUACAGGUGCAUACCACCAUGCCUGUCUAAUUUUUGUAUUUUUCGUAGAGAUGGGGUUUCACCAUGUUGGCUAGGCUGUUCUCAAACUCCUGACCUCAAGUGAUCCGCCCACCUUGGCCCCCCAAAAUGCUGGGAUUACAGGUGUGAGCCACUGCACCCAGCCACCUUUCUCUUUAGAGCUCACCCUAGUCAUUAGGAAUCUCAGUCUCAAUGUUUGAUUUGUAAGAAGGCCUCUUGCUCCUUGCCAGGUGCUUCAUCAGUCCACUCUUAGAUCCAAAAAAAAAA
Molecule: long non-coding RNA, 1146 nt
Filed under: Homo sapiens (human)
Lineage: Eukaryota; Metazoa; Chordata; Mammalia; Primates; Hominidae
Description: non-protein coding lnc-PSMC5-1:1
Source: RNAcentral